AAGGCUGCAGGAGGCUCCCAAAGGAGAAAGAGUUGGCACCAUGUCCUUUUCUUCAAUCCAUGAGGGAGGGACGCACUCAAUUAUUGAUGGUGUUGUCCACAAUGUGCCUAAGAUUAGACAGAGAAAAGUGUGCAAUAUACUACUAAACACUAUCCUAACAUGUCCCAGCUCUUCAAGUAUGUUCCUUAAACCAUUAAGACAGAAUUAACUGGAUCUGAGCAGCUUCUUUCUCUUCUCAGGUGGAAAAUGUCACAGUUUCUAUCAGGGAAAACAGCAUGUGUGGCUUUCCAUGGACUGAUGAAUCUAGGAAUCUCCAGAGCAUAGAAGUUGAUAUAUAUAUAUAUCUUGCCCAAACUUCCUGCAGUCUUAGAAGUGGACCUGAGAUGUGGCUAGCGACCAAGUUCCAGUGCCGGCAGUUCUUGACACCUUACCGCAAACCUCACAAGAGUUCAUCUUUUGUCUUAACUGAGAAUUAAUUCAACAUUCAUUUAAAAUGCUUUAAAGGUCUCUGAGCUCUGGGAUGAUGAAGGACUAAAGAAAUGUGGGCAUCCUGAGAGCUGAGGAGCAUGAUGCAAAUAAACUUCACAAAGGCAUUAAUGACUA
Pezoporus occidentalis (night parrot) is the source of this 603-nucleotide long non-coding RNA. RefSeq lists it as uncharacterized. The transcript is spliced from 2 exons. Lineage: Eukaryota; Metazoa; Chordata; Aves; Psittaciformes; Psittacidae. The record is from RefSeq and is a predicted model, not a curated record.